This is an RNA transcript of Austrofundulus limnaeus, 3567 nucleotides long. It is a transcript of the gene named G protein-coupled receptor 83, with no coding region annotated. The transcript has 5 exons. NCBI's taxonomy places the organism in Eukaryota, Metazoa, Chordata, Actinopteri, Cyprinodontiformes, Rivulidae. The record is from RefSeq and is a predicted model, not a curated record.
CGAGGCGCACGAGGCGCGCUCGCGCUCCUGAGGAGCUCCACCACACAACAACUUGUUGCUGAUGCUGGCAGCAGCUCCGCUCGGAGCGGACCCAGCUCACAGCCACCAACAAACACGCAGCGGGAUCAGGGACAGAGGUGAGACCAUGACAGGAGCGUGGGUUUGGUUCUCGGCGGUGUUUUGGCUCAGCGCCGCAGCUGGACGCACUCUUCUCAUCAACGACUCCUCUCUCCUCCUGGACGAGGACGCGCUGCUCCCCCACACGGAGACUUUGCUCAACCUGUCGGGACGGUCCGGGAACAGAACCUCCUCCUCUUCGGGCUUCUUCCUCCUGGACUUGGACGAGGGUCUGCUGGAGGGCUGGCGCACCCUGGCCGACAGGACGAGCAGCGGGAAGGAGGCGCAGGACGGCGGGGUGAAGGCGCUGCUCGUGGCCGCCUACUCCCUCAUCAUCGUGGUGUCUCUGUUCGGGAACACGCUGGUGUGCCAUGUGGUGGUGAAAAACAAACGCACUCAGUCCUCCACCAGCCUGUUCAUCCUCAACCUGGCGGUGGCUGACAUCUUCAUCACGGUCCUCAACACCCCUUUCACCCUGGUCCGCUUCGUAAACAGCACCUGGGUGUUUGGGAGGACCAUGUGUCACAUCAGCCGCUUCGUGCAGUACUGCUCCCUGCACGUCUCCACUCUCACCCUCACCGCCAUCGCUUUGGACCGACGACAGGUGAUUUUACAUCCUCUCCGACCACGCAUGACUCCAACACAAGGGGGUGUUUGGGUCGCUGUUAUCUGGAUAAUGGCCAGCUGCUUCUCCCUCCCACAUGCAAUCUACCAAAAACUCCUGACUUUCACCUACAGUAAAGAAAAGGAGCGGAGCCUCUGUGUCCCAGACUUCCCUGAGCCAUCAGAUGUCUACUGGCAGUACAUCGAUCUCCUGACCUUCAUCCUGCUGUAUGUGCUGCCGCUCAUCAUCAUCACUGCCUCCUACAUCACGGUGGCCCGCCGGCUGUGGUGUCACAACGCCAUCGGCGACACGACAACAGCCCAGCACGCCACCCAGAGGAGGAAACGACGCCGAACGCUGGCCAUGCUGUUCCUGGUCGUGGGCGUGUUCGCCGUCUGCUGGUUCCCCCUCAACUGCUACGUGGUGCUGCUCUCCAGCCAGGCGAUCCACUCCUCCAACGCUCUGUACUUCUGCUUCCACUGGCUGGCCAUGAGCUCCACCUGCUACAACCCGUUCAUCUACUGCUGCCUGAACCCGACCUUCCGUCAGGAGCUGCGGCUCCUGUUCGACAGGUGCCGCUGGAGGCGGAGGGUGGCGGUCGGCUCGGAGCCGGAGCACCGCCCCGCCGUCGCCUCCUGCGCUCCCUGCCGCCGAGCCGCCUGGCCCGACAACCAUGAAUCCCUGAGGCCGAGCCACGCUCUGUCGCACCUGGGCCAGGGUUCCCUGCAGCCGAGCCARGCCUCGUCCAGCCACUCCCAUAACCUGAAGGAAGCACACGUGCUCUUCACGGCCAGGCAGGCCCUUACAGGGAGAACAGACAUCCUCUCAGUGGAGCCCAUCGUGGCUGAGAGAUAACUACACAUGGUCGCCUCAGUUCCCACUGGAAAUUAAAAGACCAUGAUCUGAAAAUGCGUGGCUGGACCGUUGUGGGAUUUUGACGGUUGCAGUUUUCACUUCUGAUGUCUUUUGUGAUGCGUAACAAAUCCUGCAAACCUUCUGUGCUUUGAGUGAUGGAAAAAUUAUUCUCUCCUCGAGGUCCGCUCAGCAGGACCUCCAGUUAAAGGRUUGUGAUUGUUUCUGACAUUUUGUUUAAAUUUUCUUUUUGUUUCCUGUGCACCAAAAGUAUCUUCAAUGCAAAAUAGGAUUCUGAAACUAAUUUUUCAUUAUCCUAUUUAAAAAAAUCUGCAUGAAAGUACAAAGGAGUAGAUGAUACAAUGAAUGAUGAGCUAUGGAUAUCCCCUUGUAAAUAGCUCUUUUUCCCCCAACAGGGUUCACAGAAAAUGCACAGAUAGAAGACUAUCAAGAAUUUUCAUUACACAAGAAAAAAAAAAUCUACCAGGAUCCAUUCACAGCUUUUGUCUCCUCACAGCUUUUAUGAUUCAUUCUACAAAAAAAUAAAUAAAAUAAAAUAAAUUCUCAGAAAAUGAACCAUUGAGGAUGACAUUCAAAUUUUUCCACUUCAUUUAUUUCAUCCCUUUAUUUCAUCCCUUUAAGGCCAUACCACUGCCUUUUCUGCUGCUGUUUCUUUAACCUGGAGGCUUUGAGAGUAUGUUUCAGAGGAAUGACAGCAAUUGAGGCUAUAUUUUGAAAAAUCUAUUUCAGUUCACAAUCAUCUCUUUCACCGUGGAGGCUCUUAAGGAAUUUUUUUGAACCUUUGUUGGGAUUUUCUUGUUGGGAUUUUCUUGUGUCAGAUGAGAAUCGACAAUCGCGACAAAACCUUUGGAGGAAACRUGGUCUCUCACUUACACUGUGACCUCUUGGGAUUUUUACAGACUGAAUGUAUUUGUCACCAAAUUGCUUUUGUUGCUGGGUCUGGUACAAAGAGACAAUUAAUUCUAGAUGUAGUUGACCAGUUUUUACCCCUCGAUGUGGACUAAACGUUGAGGCCUUCGUCACCAUUUUGUUGGUUUGAAUUGUGGACUUGGUGAACUUACAAAAUGCGUCAUAAUGAUCCCCUGCCUUCAUGAAAGGCAGGGGAUUAUUUAAUUACCUGUGUUUGUGUUCGUGUGUCUGUCUAAUGAAACACUGAAUCAUGUAAUUGUUAGCUGUCUAACUGGUGGGUCAUUGGUUAGCACUGAUGUCUCACAGCAGGAAGAUGCUGAGUUUGAUCCCCAGUUCAGACCUGAUGUCUUUCUGUGUGGAGUUUGCAUCUUUUCCUCAUGCUUACAUAMGUUUUCUCCUGGUGCUCUGUUUCCUCCCACGAACAAAAGCAUGCAUGUUGGGUUACCUUCAAGCUCUGGCCUUCCUCACAAAAGAGACCUGUGAUCUCAAUGCAAUUUGCCUGGUGAAAUAAAAAACUGAUUACCUUUUGGCGACAAUCUAAAACCAAGAUGUUUACCACUGUUAACCAACCUUAGACAGCACAAAAAUGUCAAACAUACUGCAGAAAAAGCAGUAUUAUCUGACAACAGGGUAGAUUAAACUCGAGUAUUUAGUGUUAAUAACGGAAGAUGUGAUCACUGCUGGAGGCAGUGGCGACAAAGGGAAACAAUGGUGGAGAAAUCUAAAAUAAUAGAAGACAAUGAAACACAAUGACAAGAUGUAAUGAAACAAAUCAKUGGAUAUAAAGAAUGAAACACAAGAAACAGAAAAAACAAACGUUUACAAGGUUAAAACGUAUUGUAAUUUGGUUUUAAAUGCAGCAGAUUUAUUGUAGCAAUGCUGAAUAAGACAUGACACUUCAAGCAUCAYCAUGAAAAAUGAUGAUAAAACACUGAAAAACAUCCGAUUGUGUUGAAUGUUAUCGCUGGGAAACAUCUUAAAAAAGGCUAAAGCGGUAAAAUGUCAAAAACCAUAUAUAUGUAUAUAUAUAAAUGUACAUUAAUAAUAAAUGUUAGAUUUUUCAU